RNAcentral lists this ribosomal RNA (263 nucleotides) under uncultured bacterium. RNAcentral describes it as "partial 16S ribosomal RNA". It matches the Rfam family "Bacterial small subunit ribosomal RNA", at positions 524 to 786 of the family's 1533-position model. The record is from RNAcentral.
GACGUAGGGGGCAAGCGUUACCCGGAAUUACUGGGCGUAAAGGGGGCGUAGGCGGUAAAAGAAGUCAUCUGUGAAAACCUAUUGCUCAACGAUAGGCUAGCGGAUGAAACUGAAUUACUUGAGGGCACCAGAGGUAGACGGAAUUACCCGAGUAGGGGUGAAAUCCGCAGAUACGGGUAGGAACGCCGGUGGAGAAGUCGGUCUACUGGGGUGCACCAGACGCUGAGGCCCGAAAGCUAGGGGAGCAAACCGGAUUAGAUACC